GAUGAACGCUGGCGGCGUGCCUAAUACAUGCAAGUCGAGCGAACAGACGAGGAGCUUGCUCCUCUGACGUUAGCGGCGGACGGGUGAGUAACACGUGGAUAACCUACCUAUAAGACUGGGAUAACUUCGGGAAACCGGAGCUAAUACCGGAUAAUAUAUUGAACCGCAUGGUUCAAUAGUGAAAGACGGUUUUGCUGUCACUUAUAGAUGGAUUCGCGCCGCAUUAGCUAGUUGGUAAGGUAACGGCUUACCAAGGCGACGAUGCGUAGCCGACCUGAGAGGGUGAUCGGCCACACUGGAACUGAGACACGGUCCAGACUCCUACGGUAGGCAGCAGUAGGGAAUCUUCCGCAAUGGGCGAAAGCCUGACGGAGCAACGCCGCGUGAGUGAUGAAGGUCUUCGGAUCGUAAAACUCUGUUAUUAGGGAAGAACAAAUGUGUAAGUAACUAUGCACGUCUUGACGGUACCUAAUCAGAAAGCCACGGCUAACUACGUG
This 497-nucleotide ribosomal RNA is filed under the name uncultured bacterium. RNAcentral describes it as "partial 16S ribosomal RNA". It matches the Rfam family "Bacterial small subunit ribosomal RNA", at positions 28 to 507 of the family's 1533-position model. The record is from RNAcentral.